Molecule: long non-coding RNA, 259 nt
Organism: Ananas comosus (pineapple)
Lineage: Eukaryota; Viridiplantae; Streptophyta; Magnoliopsida; Poales; Bromeliaceae
Exons: 3
Source: RefSeq, a predicted model, not a curated record
CUUUAAAGCUUAAUUGGAAGAUUUAGCCAUUUAAGAAGCGAAAAUCGGAACUUAAUGCACUAAGUUGUGCGAAUUGAUGCAAAUUGGAAUUUUUCUUCGCAGCAGGUCUUCGAGCUUCGUUGAGCUGAAAUUGUGCUCUUAGAAGCUAGUUUGGAAGGUGUUCUAACCAAGGCGAGAUCGCGAUCGAGCCUUGGAUCGUCUUCGAUUGCCUUGUGAGGACUCUUGGAGGUUACACUUGAGGUUUGAGACCUAGUGGAGC